UGCCAGUUCUACAUGUACCCCAUACAAGGAAUCUUCCAUUGUGUUCUCAAGUUCUAAUUAUCAACUAGUUCUCCCUUUCUCUCCCUAUGUAGGACUGAUCACAGCCAGUUUUGGGAAUCCACUAGUACUUAUGCAUUGCCAGCAUGCAACUAAGAUGGAGCACAAUGGCAAAAUGUUGACAACAGGCAUGUCAAAGGUGGCUCUUAUACCCAAGCACUUUUUUGGCAGCAUGUCCGAUAAUGAUAACUUAAGCCG
Molecule: unclassified non-coding RNA, 255 nt
Filed under: Hevea brasiliensis (rubber tree)
Lineage: Eukaryota; Viridiplantae; Streptophyta; Magnoliopsida; Malpighiales; Euphorbiaceae
Source: RNAcentral